GUUACACAGCUGGGAGGUGUAGAGCAGGGAUUUACACCCAGGUCUGUCUCACUCUGAAUUCUGUCUUCUUUACAGGAGGCCUGGUUCUAAUUCUCAAAUUGCAUGAAUUGACUGGAAGCUCAGGAAGAGGAUCCUCCCCGGGAAAGAGGAGUCUUUACUUCAGCUUGGAAUUGGAGCAAGUAUUUACUGGGCACCUACUAUGUUCUGUGCACUGGACUGGAAGCUGGGGAGACUGAGAUGAAUAAAGCUGGGUCCUUGUAUUAAUGAGCGCGUGGCAUUAACCUGGAUUGUCUUGUGCAACUCUACAUAAAAGGGCCCGUGGGCUGAUGGAGCCUGCUGUAUCCCAACGCUCUGGAGAAACUGCUUGCUUUGAUUCAAGAUGCUCACUAUCC
Molecule: long non-coding RNA, 392 nt
Filed under: Callithrix jacchus (white-tufted-ear marmoset)
Lineage: Eukaryota; Metazoa; Chordata; Mammalia; Primates; Cebidae
Description: lncRNA (ENSCJAG00000086089.1)
Source: RNAcentral